UGUGUUAGUACAAUAAAUAAAUGCAUGUUGCGUCUUGCAAUCUUCUGGGAAGGAAUUUAAUACCAAGCUAUGUCAUGGAAAGGAAGACAGGAGUUAAGAAAUACAGAGAAAGGGACAAUUCUUCUUCCCUAUCGGGUGGCUCCAGUGAUUGCUAAAUGAGCGUGUUUGCGAGGAGGUGGCUAUCAAUCAAGGUAUACAGUCUGCAUGUCUCAAUUCUAACUUAGCUUCCUGCCCUUCCUCAAAUGUUCUUCUGCCAUCAAGGCAUGGCCAACGCCCAGCCAGACACCUGAGUCAUGUUUGCCUCCUCCCUCUUGCUUUCCUCUGUCCCUGAAUCUGUUUGGUUGCUAAAUCCUCUCAAUUUCCCCUCUGGAAGGCCUCUGCCUUUGCCCUCCCUCUGGGCUGGAUUAGCUAAUAACAUCGAAGCUGCCACUACCCAAGAAGCUCAGACUCCUUUUCCUGGUCUUCCCACCUUUCACAUAGGCUCCUUCUGGCUUCUGGUCACCUUCUCCACUGUCACCCUCCGCGCCGCACGGCGAAGAUCCUGCUCACCCGCCAGGACCUCAGCCCGGAGCGGGUCCCGCCGUCUGCCCCUCGGAAGCCUGGGCGCUCCAGGAUGUGGGCCCCAACGCAGACGGAAGUGCCGGCAGCUCGAGGGGCGGGGCAGGGGGCGGGGCCUGGCCCGGCUGGCCAAUGGAAGCGCUGAGCCCAGAGUCAGAGGUCACAUGUGCAGUGGGCGGGAAUUUUCUCCUGAGAAGACCGGUAGGAGGCGGUUUUCCCUCUGCCUGUACCCUGAGAGGCUGGAGAGACGAGGGAGGGAAGGUGUUUUUAGACUGAGGGGAAGAAAGGAUCGACGUGGGGCUAGAGUAUGGCAGCUCCGAAAUCUCUGGAAAACAGAUUUGUGAGGCGUGGCUGAUGUGACCCUGUGGGGACAAGGCCCCAGAACGGGUGUCCACCUAACCUAAUUAGGCGAGAACAGAGGGUGUGAAGGACACGGAAGAUAGCGGUCAAGAGGUAGCACAGGAGAAAUAAAAUCAUUACAAACAGGUGUUGAAAUUUGUACUGCUUGCAAAGAAAGAAGCUAUGUUUUCAACAUUCAAAUAUUGUGCAAUAGAUUAUUUAUAUGAGAAUGUAAUUAGGAAGAAGUUUUCUAGAGAUGCUUUCUUGCUUCGAAUCCCUUCAUGUUUAUAUCAAGAUGGAGAUUAUCUUACAGGAGUUAUUGAUAGUGCAUUUAGGAGGCCAUGGACAAGAGGUAUGUUUUGUUUUUAUUUCUAAAAAAUCUAUUUUAAAAAUUAUUUCUGUUUAGCAGAGUAAAUUAUUAAGAAAAUGCAGUGUUUUUCUCAUUAAAUAAAAAUGCAUUGCAUUUAUUCAUAUCAGAAUUCCAAGAAGUUUAUAAAUUGAUAUUUUUGUGACAGAAUUUAGGUGACAAAAUAAGGAGUUGGAAAGCUUACACUAAAUAUGAGUAGAACGAAUAAAAGAUAUGUAGAUGAUGAAGUCUUAAAAUAUUCUAACAUUGUAAACAUUUGUUGUGUUAUAAUGGAUCUUGCUCAACUGUAGGAGUGCUACUUUAAGUUGUAAUGAUACACUGACUAUAAAACUAUUUUUAAAGGUAUGUGUACAAAAUAUCAUCUUUUGCUUUUAUCAUGUCAUGGACUUAAGAAAGAGGUAGCCUUCAGGGGGGAGUCAACUCAGUUAACAGCAUUUAUUUAGCAUGUAUUAUGCACUAGGCACUAUGUUACAGGUGCUAAUGACACAGUUACUAAUAAGACACGCAAAUAGUCCCUGCCCUCAGUGAGUUUUCAGACUGGUAAGGAGGAUGCAGCAAUAAAAACAUUUAGUGUAUAAAUUAAUAUCUUGUAUUUGUAAGUGUACAGAGAAGACACAAUAAUGUAAUGUGAUAUGAAAUUUCAGGAGUAGGGAGUGCUAUGAGGAGGUGGACAUUUGAGUUGAGAACUGAGUAAUGAGAAGGCAGCAACCAUAAAAAGAUAUGGAGGAGGAGCCUUUCAAACAAAUGCAAAGUUCCCGACCCAGGAAUAAACUUCAUGUGUGUAAGGACCAGAAAAUUAGGCCAUUGUGACUGGUUGAUGAAAAAGGGGAGACCUGAGAAGUAGGGAGUUUCUGAAAGAUAGAAGGCUUUGCAAGCCAUAAUAGCAAGUUUGUUUGUUUAUAUUAUGGCUGAUGUGGGAAGUCACUGGACAAUUUUAAGAAAGAGAGUGGUAUAACCUGAUUUAUUCUUUAGAAAAAUCGUUCUGAUUGUCUGCAGCAUGGAAUGGGUAGGGAAUGGGAGACAAGAGUAGAGAUAGGAAACUAAAUCAGGAAGUGGCUUAUUGUCAUGAUUCAGAAUUUAGACUCCUAGGUGAAUCUACACUCUAUGUAAAAAAUGACGGUGCUUUGGACUAGGCUUCUAAUAAUGGAGAUAUGAGAAGUGGAUGAGACUGGGAUUAUUUUACAAGUCCAGCCAACAGUGAG
Long non-coding RNA from Equus caballus (horse), 2466 nucleotides. NCBI's taxonomy places the organism in Eukaryota, Metazoa, Chordata, Mammalia, Perissodactyla, Equidae. The record is from Ensembl.